AUACGGAGGAUCCGAGCGUUAUCCGGAUUUGUUGGGUUUAAAGGGUGCGCAGGCGGCCAUUUAAGUCAGCGGUUAAAUCGUGGGGCUCAACCCCAUUCUGCCGUUGAUACUGGGUGGCUUGAUUGCGGUCGAGGUUGGCGGAAUUCGUUGUGUAGCGGUGAAAUGCAUAGAUAUGACGAAGAACACCGAUUGCGUAGGCAGCUGACCAGACCGCAAAUGACGCUCAUGCACGAAAGUGCGGGGAUCGAACAGGAUUAGAUACCCUGGUAGUCCGCACAGUAAACGAUGAAUACUUGUUUUCGGCGAUAUAAUGUCGGAGGCAAAGCGAAAGCGAUAAGUAUUCCACCUGGGGAGUACGCCGGCAACGGUGAAACUCAAAGGAAUUGACGGGG
This 392-nucleotide ribosomal RNA is filed under the name uncultured bacterium. Its description in RNAcentral is "partial 16S ribosomal RNA". It matches the Rfam family "Bacterial small subunit ribosomal RNA", at positions 523 to 918 of the family's 1533-position model. The record is from RNAcentral.